UCGGCCGUGGUGUAAUUGGCAACACGUCGCCCUUUGGAGGCGAUUUUCUAGGUUCGAGUCCUAGCGGCCGAGC
This 73-nucleotide transfer RNA is filed under the name Polymorphospora rubra. RNAcentral describes it as "tRNA-Gln". It matches the Rfam family "tRNA". Rfam says of the family: Transfer RNA (tRNA) molecules are approximately 80 nucleotides in length. Their secondary structure includes four short double-helical elements and three loops (D, anti-codon, and T loops). RNAcentral also lists the same sequence under 2 other names. The record is from RNAcentral. Lineage: Bacteria; Bacillati; Actinomycetota; Actinomycetes; Micromonosporales; Micromonosporaceae.